This 478-nucleotide ribosomal RNA is filed under the name uncultured bacterium. Its description in RNAcentral is "partial 16S ribosomal RNA". It matches the Rfam family "Bacterial small subunit ribosomal RNA", at positions 28 to 507 of the family's 1533-position model. The record is from RNAcentral.
GAUGAACGCUGGCGGCGUGCUUAACACAUGCAAGUCGAACGGGAAACCUUUUAUUGAAGCUUCGGCAGAUUUAGCUGGUUUCUAGUGGCGGACGGGUGAGUAACGCGUGGGUAACCUGCCUUAUACAGGGGGAUAACAGUCAGAAAUGGCUGCUAAUACCGCAUAAGCGCACAGAGCUGCAUGGCUCAGUGUGAAAAACUCCGGUGGUAUAAGAUGGACCCGCGUUGGAUUAGCUGGUUGGUGGGGUAACGGCCCACCAAGGCGACGAUCCAUAGCCGGCCUGAGAGGGUGAACGGCCACAUUGGGACUGAGACACGGCCCAGACUCCUACGGGAGGCAGCAGUGGGGAAUAUUGCACAAUGGGGGAAACCCUGAUGCAGCGACGCCGCGCGAAGGAAGAAGUAUCUCGGUAUGUAAACUUCUAUCAGCAGGGAAGAUAAUGACGGUACCUGACUAAGAAGCCCCGGCUAACUACGUG